CACAAGGGGUGAAGCCUGCGGUUCAAUUGGAGUCAACGCCAGGAAACUUACCAGGAGAGACAGCAGAUUGAGGGUCAGGCUGAAGACCUUACCUGACGAGCUGAGAGGAGGUGCAUGGCCGUCGCCAGCUCGUGCCGUGAGGCGUCCUGUUAAGUCAGGCAACGAGCGAGACCCCUAUCAGUAAUUGCUAACUGCCCAGAGAUGGGCAGAGGCUAGUUACAGAGACUGCCGUUGAUAAAACGGAGGAAGGAAGGGGCCACGGCAGGUCAGUAUGCCCCGAAACUCCUGGGCCACACGCGGGCUGCAAUGGUAGGGACAAUAGGUUCCGACCUCGAAAGAGGAAGGCAAUCCCCAAACCCUACCUCAGUUGUGAUCGAGGAUUGAAACCCGUCCUCGUGAAUAUGGAAUCCCUAGUAACCGCGUGUCAUCACCGCGCGGUGAAUACGUCCCUGCUCC
RNAcentral lists this ribosomal RNA (456 nucleotides) under uncultured archaeon. Its description in RNAcentral is "bacterial SSU rRNA". It matches the Rfam family "Archaeal small subunit ribosomal RNA", at positions 880 to 1336 of the family's 1478-position model. The record is from RNAcentral.